UGCUGCACGACCAACACACACUUAGACCUAUGCCCCCCUUCAAGAUGUUUAUGAAAAUUAAACGAGCCGAAGGCGAGCAGGAGGUUCCCUCGCGCCGGAGGCACCGUGUCACACCACGACGGACAACGCGCCGCACGAACUAGCACGCUGCACGACCAACACACACUUCGACCUAUGCCCCCCCUUCAAGAUGUUUAUGAAAA
Non-coding RNA from Aegilops tauschii subsp. strangulata, 203 nucleotides. The record is from RefSeq and is a predicted model, not a curated record. Lineage: Eukaryota; Viridiplantae; Streptophyta; Magnoliopsida; Poales; Poaceae.